UGAAGAAAUAUAAAUUUUAAUUACAAAAUGACUAACACUGAAGAAAUAAAUAUACUUUAAUUUAAAUAUCAGAUUUUAUUUCAUCUGAAUCAUCAGAAAAUCCAAAUACGAGAUUAAAUCAAAAAAAAAAAAAAAAUUGCAGACGUCAAAAAUAUGCAACUUGUAAUCGAAUCACGUACUUACUUGCAGAAUAGCUCUUGGAAAGGCUGGUAGUCAUCUAGAAUCAUAUUUCCCGCAAGAAUAAUACAUACAUUGCAGUAACUAACAAUGCAAUGUUUUUAUUUAUAUUAAUAUUUAAAAAUCGACCUUGAAGAUUUAAUACUCGCAUAAAAUUCGCCCACUUGACAGUAUAAUGGCAAGCUUAUUAAUUUUAUAACCAUGGUUGCAACCGGAAGCGAAAUAAAGAUAAACAUCGAAGUCUGUUUACUAUUUAUCAGCUGUGCUGCCAUCUACCGCUUCCCUGUCAUAAAUCCGCGGAAUUAUUCCACAACCAAUACAAUGGCCGCAAGGAUGUUAGCGAAGAAACAAAGAUAUCAAAUAGUCAGUAGCCAAACAAAGUAUUUGUUUUUUUGAGCAGAGCUCAAAAAAAUGACUACAAAAUAAAAAUAAAAACUAUGAGCACACACGAACAAAAAUGAACAUGAAGAAGGGUGUCAAUAAAAUUGCCCAAGAUAUACAAACUAUAUCUUGGUACUUGGUAUUGUAUAUCACGUCGAUGCUACCAUACUGCAAGCAAUUGCUGCUGUACACCCAUCCGCGUUCGACUUGCACGCUUACUGUGUCUGAUGUCUGUCGCUUUUUCAUACGCUCACAAUACUCACAUAAUUACACUUCACUCUCUCCUGUUCCACUCUCCAAAGUCUUGGAGAGGAUGUACUUACCACUUAUUAAUAUAUUUGUAUGUAUAUAUAAAGAUAUAAGCCCAAUACAUGCAUUUAUUUAUACAUAAGUGCACAUGUAUUAAACGUUAAUGUUAAAUAUUUCAAUAAAUUUUUACUCUUACGAGUAUUUCUCCGAGAUAGUAUCUCGUAACUUAUAAUAAGCUUGGCUUGCCGAUUCUCCAGCACCUGUACGCUGUGAAAUGACAACUCAUGCUUUCUAUAUUUAAAUAUUUUCAAAAUUUCAAAUUUUUAUUGGUUUUAAUUCAUGUUUAUAUAAAAGGAUGCCCCCAGAAUCUGAACCGCGAGAUUCCGCCGUCUGGGCUGAUGAUUAUCCGGAUGUGGCUCACUGGCCCUGGCCAUGUGAUUGAGGUGUAAACGUGCAAGCGGUUGGGGCUCAG
RNAcentral lists this long non-coding RNA (1279 nucleotides) under Cotesia glomerata. RNAcentral describes it as "uncharacterized LOC123275115, transcript variant X1". The record is from RNAcentral. Lineage: Eukaryota; Metazoa; Arthropoda; Insecta; Hymenoptera; Braconidae.